GAUGAAAUACCAGGUGAAGGCCGGGUGCGGCAGCUCACCCCUGUAAUCCCAGCACUUUGGGAGGCCAAGGCGGGCGGAUCACUAGGUCAGAAGAUCGAGACCAUCCUGGCUAACACGGUGAAACCCCGUCUCUACUAAAAAUACACAAAAUUAGCUGGGCAUGGUGGCGGGCACCUAUAGUCCCAGCUACUCGGGAGGCUGAGGCAGGAGAAUGGUGGGAACCUGGGAGGCGGAGCUUGCAGCGAGCCGAGAUCCUGUCACUGCCCUCCAGCCUGGGCGACAGAGUGAGACUCCGUCUCAAAAACAAAAAAAAGAAAUACCAGGUGAAGCAUAUGCCCUGCAAGCUUAGGGGUGCUACAGUUGACCACUGUAGCAGUAAAGAUGACUGAAGAAUAGCAUGGGAUGGAUCCUUUCGAAUGCACUUGAGCAGCAGUCUCCAACCACAGGGCCACAGAGCCAGAGGUGAGCAGCAGCUGGAUCUACCAUGAAAGACUUCUGAAUCCAGGAAAAGAGACUGACUGGGUAACAUGUUAUUCAGGGUCUCCCUCUCUUGUCCAAGGCUGGAGUGUAGUAGUGCUA
Molecule: long non-coding RNA, 579 nt
Filed under: Homo sapiens (human)
Lineage: Eukaryota; Metazoa; Chordata; Mammalia; Primates; Hominidae
Description: HSALNT0340913
Source: RNAcentral